RNAcentral lists this ribosomal RNA (253 nucleotides) under uncultured Eubacteriales bacterium. Its description in RNAcentral is "uncultured Clostridiales bacterium partial 16S ribosomal RNA". It matches the Rfam family "Bacterial small subunit ribosomal RNA", at positions 524 to 776 of the family's 1533-position model. The record is from RNAcentral. Lineage: Bacteria; Bacillati; Bacillota; Clostridia; Eubacteriales.
UACGUAGGAGGCAAGCGUUAUCCGGAAUGACUGGGCGUAAAGGGUGCGUAGGUGGUUUGAUAAGUUGGUAGCGUAAUUCCGAGGCUCAACCUCGGCGCUACUACCAAAACUGUCGGACUUGAGUGCAGGAGGGGCAAAUGGAAUUCCUAGUGUAGCGGUGGAAUGCGUAGAUAUUAGGAGGAACACCAGUGGCGAAGGCGAUUUGCUGGACUGUAACUGACGUUGAGGCUCGAAAGCGUGGGGAGCAAACAGG